RNAcentral lists this ribosomal RNA (92 nucleotides) under uncultured bacterium. RNAcentral describes it as "partial 16S ribosomal RNA". It matches the Rfam family "Bacterial small subunit ribosomal RNA", at positions 1393 to 1482 of the family's 1533-position model. The record is from RNAcentral.
CCCGUCACAUCAUGAAAGCCGUUUGUAUCCGAAGUCACCGUGUUAACUCGCAAGAGAGACAGGUGCCGAAGGUAUGGAUGGUGAUUGGGAUG